GUGAGACUUCUGAGGCCAGAGGAAAACUUGACUUCAGCCUCUGAGACCUCUAGCUAACACCUCCUUUUCCAAAAGAAUCUCCAAGACUUUCAGGCAAUACCAGCCAAGAAACAGCUUUUCAGACUCCAGUGUCAGCUCAAGGAGUGAAUCAGGAAGCCAGAAUCUGACGGAGACCUCAUGGCAGAAGGCCCAAGUCCAAGUCAGCUUCCCUCUGAGAUGCCCGAUCAAGACUCAGAUGAGCGACCUGGAGAGCAAGGUGAUCCCUGUGUGGAACAACAAGACCCAGUGGAAGUAGACGAGCCUAAAGAGUCAGGCCAGCCUGCCAGACCCAUUGCUUAUGUACGUUCGCAGAGGUCUGAGCCCACAGAGCCCACAGAGCCAGCCGGAGCUGCAGGACGUCAUGCUGGUAGAGGAAACGAUGAAGAACAAAGAGCUUACCCUGGAAGGCAGAGACGGAGGUGGAGGCAGAGGCAGAGGCAGAGGCAGUGGGCAGAGACAGGCAGCCACUCACAGGCAGCCUUCCAGGAGUGGCAGGAACCCUCUGAGGAACUGGUUCUACAGACAUACUUCAGCCACAGUGAAGAAACAGGGGCUGCCAUGAACCUGUAUCCCACCUUGACUCCAGUAGUCCCUGUGCCAGCAGGGAUGGCCCAGUGGCCACCUAUAGUUUAUGGGUACUGGGC
This 683-nucleotide long non-coding RNA is filed under the name Mus musculus (house mouse). RNAcentral's name for it is "RIKEN cDNA 4933427D06 gene". Lineage: Eukaryota; Metazoa; Chordata; Mammalia; Rodentia; Muridae. The record is from RNAcentral.